UCAUAGGGUGUCUGAAGUAAGUCGUGGUCUCUUAAACCACUUAUGGUAACGUAACAUUUACCCCCUAUG
This 69-nucleotide transfer RNA is filed under the name Deleatidium vernale. Its description in RNAcentral is "tRNA-Lys". Lineage: Eukaryota; Metazoa; Arthropoda; Insecta; Ephemeroptera; Leptophlebiidae. The record is from RNAcentral.